AGAGGGUGACACUCCCGUCCGCCUGGCAGAGUGAGUCGUUUGUCAACGAGUCGAGUUGUUUGGGGUUGCAGCUCUAAUUUGGUGGUAAAUUCCAUCUAAAGCUAAAUAUUGGUGGGGGACCGAUAGCGUACAAGUACCGUGAGGGAAAGAUGCAAAGAACUUUGAAAAGAGAGUUAAAGAGUACCUGAAACUGCUGAAACGGAAAGCGAAGGUAAACCAGUGUUUGUUUGUUCUAUAUUUCCCUAGCCGACUUGCGGCUUGGGCGCUGUGGGCGUUGCGUGAGUUUACUUUGGUUGAUCCCUUUGGAAGAGCGCAGUCCAGAGUUGAUGUCU
This 332-nucleotide ribosomal RNA is filed under the name Pseudo-nitzschia hasleana. Its description in RNAcentral is "LSU rRNA". It matches the Rfam family "Eukaryotic large subunit ribosomal RNA", at positions 207 to 511 of the family's 3401-position model. The record is from RNAcentral. Lineage: Eukaryota; Bacillariophyta; Bacillariophyceae; Bacillariales; Bacillariaceae.